This 150-nucleotide small RNA is filed under the name Paenibacillus sp. RNAcentral describes it as "c-di-AMP sequence". It matches the Rfam family "c-di-AMP riboswitch aptamer (ydaO/yuaA leader)". From Rfam's summary of the family: This family represents a conserved RNA structure found upstream of the ydaO and yuaA genes in Bacillus subtilis and related genes in other bacteria. The ydaO/yuaA element is thought to act as a genetic "off" switch for the ydaO and yuaA genes in its native state. It is believed that the element may be triggered during osmotic shock leading to activation of ydaO, a predicted amino acid transporter gene, and members of the yuaA-yubG operon which code for KtrA and KtrB K+ transporters. RNAcentral also lists the same sequence under 1 other name. Lineage: Bacteria; Bacillati; Bacillota; Bacilli; Caryophanales; Paenibacillaceae. The record is from RNAcentral.
GUAUAUUCAUCGCUUAAUCCUCUUUUGAGGAGCGGGGGAACCAACGAAGCAUAAUCGCUUCAGGGGUGAAUUCUUUCUUUUGCAGAAAGAACGGGGACUCUCAGACCCGAAUCCGACAGCUAACCUCGUAGGCGUCAUGAGAGAGAUCAU